Pipistrellus kuhlii (Kuhl's pipistrelle) is the source of this 343-nucleotide long non-coding RNA. RefSeq lists it as uncharacterized. Lineage: Eukaryota; Metazoa; Chordata; Mammalia; Chiroptera; Vespertilionidae. The transcript is spliced from 2 exons. The record is from RefSeq and is a predicted model, not a curated record.
AAAAUUGAAUAGAACUGUUACUGCACUCUGUGCACUGUUCAAUACCACUGGUAGGUAUAGCACCAGAGUGAAAGAAAGACCUUUAUAUCUGGCAUUUCAAUAUAUACUGUGUUCUCCUAGCCCACCCAUACUGCAAUCCCACUCAUGAAUUAUGGAUGUCCAGUUAGAUACUGCAUGAUGUCCAAGAUUAUCAUUGUCAUUCAGUGUAAAAGUGCGUGUUCCCUCAGGAGGAAAAGUGAAUUUGGUACCUUAUGGCUCCUCAAGUGCAUUCUACCCAGGAGCUGGCAGAGAAGAACAACUUGCAUUAUCAUGUGGGUAAAAGAACUCAAUAGUUGAAGGAAUU